UCAGUCAGUCAGUCAGUCAGUCAGUCAGUCAGUCAGAGAGAGAGAGAGAGCUCUUCCCACUGAUGGGGUAGUCGUGUAACAGGUCCUUAUUGCUUUCUGACUUUCAGAACGUUAAAGUCAGAUCAAACAUUUCUGUCCCAAAGGCAUGUUUUCAUCUUCAUAAAGGAGACUAUCUGGACUAUUGUCAACAAACUCAGAACUAUUAAUUACUGUUUGUUGAAACGACAACAAGAAAGCAAAGCUGUCAAACAUUGACAGAUCUCACAAUUCUAGCUUUAAUUAAUAACAUAAAUAUUGUGUGUGUGUUUCUAACUGAACAAACUGUGUUGGCAGAAAUUGAAUAAUAUAAAUUCAAAAGGAGAGAAAAAGCUAAUUUCCUGCUCUCUGCAGGUGACCUGGACUGGGGAGAGAUGUACAAUGCUCUCUGCAGGUGACCUGGACUGGGGAGAGAUGUACAAUGCUCUCUGCAGGUGACCUGGACUGGGGAGAGAUGUACAAUGCUCUCUGCAGGUGACCUGGACUGGGGAGAGAUGUACAAUGCUCUCUGCAGGUGACCUGGACUGGGGAGAGAUGUACAAUGCUCUCUGCAGGUGACCUGGACUGGGGAGAGAUGUACAAUGCUCUCUGCAGGUGACCUGGACUGGGGAGAGAUGUACAAUGCUCUCUGCAGGUGACCUGGACUGGGGAGAGAUGUACAAUGCUCUCUGCAGGUGACCUGGACUGGGGAGAGAUGUACAAUGCUCUCUGCAGGUGACCUGGACUGGGGAGAGAUGUACAAUGCUCAAGUUGUUUCGUCUCCCUAAAGCGCCAUCAAAGAGAAACGCCCAUAAGAUCUCUCUAAUAAUGUCUUGUUUUGGUCCGUUAGGGUUCUGCCUUCCCUCCAUACAUCCAUGCUAGUGUUUCUACGUGGUUCCCCUUCAUACUUUCUAAGGUACCUUCACUAAACCCUGCCUGUGAAGGUGUAUUCAGAUCUACUGGCUUGGCCGAACCGUCCUCGAACAAAGCACUGGAUACUUAGUAGUAGACAGAAGAUUGUAUUUCUUUUCGAUGUUUCCUGUAUUACAGUGUCACAGCAGAGGUUUCAGUUCUUCUUAAAGUAUUUUUCGCUCAGAAAGAACAUAAAUUGUGACAAAAUGCCGAAAGAACAAAAAUAUAUACAGUAUCAGUUCAAAUUUUUGGACACACCUCCUCAUUCCAGGGUUUUUCUUCAUUUGGACUAUUUUCCAUAUUCCAUGUAGAAUAAUAGUGAAGACAUCAGAACUAUGAACUAACUCAUAUGGAAUCAUGUAGUAACCAAAAUAAAAGUGUUAAACAAAUCAAAAUAUAUUUGAAUCUUCAAAGUAGCCACCCUUUGCCUUGAUGACAGCUUUACACACUCUUGGCAUACUCUCAACUUUUCUCAAAUAUAGAAGGUGUUUUGGCAAUAGCGCCACUUUUUUAACCAUCUCUAUAAUAUACAGCGCCUUCGGAAAGUAUUCAGACCCCUUGACUUUUGUCACAUUUUGUUACGUUACAGCCUUAUUCAAAAAUGGAUAUAUAUAUAUUUUUAAAUGCAUCAAUCUGCACACAAUACCCAACAAAUGACAAAGCAAAAACAUUUUUUUGAAAUGUUUGCGAAUUUAUAAUGAAAUAAAAAAAACUGAAAUAUUACAUUUACAUAAGUAUUCAGACCCUUUACUUUGUUGAAGCACUUUUGGCAGCGUUUACAGCCUCAAGUCUUCUUGGGUAUUGACGCUACAAGCUUGACACACUUGUAUUUGAGGAGUUUCAUUCUUUCCUGCAGAUCCUCUCAAGCUCUGUCAGGUUGGAUGAGGAGCGUUGCUGCACAGCUAUUUUCAGGUCAAAUCCAACAAUGUUCGAUAAGGUUUAAGUCCGGGCUCUGCCAAGCAGAGCGGGCUGUCAUGUGCCUUUUACUGAGGAGUGGCUUCCAUCUGGCCACUCUACCGCAAAGGUCUGAAUGGUGGAGUGCUGCAGAUAUAUUUGUCCUUCUAGAAGGUUCUCCCAUCUCCACAGAGGAACUCUUGAGCUCUCUGAGUGACCAUCAGGUUCUUGGUCACCUCCCUGACCAAGGCCCAUCUCCCCUGAUUGCUCAGUUUGGCCAGGCGGCCAGCUCUAGGACGAGUCUUGGUGGUUCCAAACAUUUUCCAUUUAUGAAUGAUGGAAGCCACUGUGUUCUUGGGGACCUUCAAUGUUGCAGAAUUGUUUUGGUACCCUUCCCCAGAUCUGUGCCACGACACAAUCCUGUCUAUGGACAAUUCCUUUGACCUUAUGGCUUGUUUUUUGCUCUGACAUGCACUGUCAACUGUGGGACCUUAUAUAGACAGGUGUGUGCCUUUCCAAAUCAUGUCCAAUCAAUUAAAAUUUACCACAGGUGGACUCCAAUCAAGUUGUAGAAACAUCUCAAGGAUGAUCAAUGGAAACAGGAUGCAUCUGAGCUCAAUUUCGUGUCUCAUAGCAAAGGGUCUGAAUACAUAUGUAACUAAGGUAUUUCUGUUUUGAAUGUUUUAUAAAAUUGCAAAAAUGUUUAAAAACCUGUUUUCACUUUGUUGUUAUUGGGUAUUGUGAUGUCAUUAUGGGGUAUUGUGAUGUCACUAUGGGUUAUUGUGAUGUCACUAUGGGUUAUUGUGUUUAGAUUGAUGAGGAUGUUUUAUUUCAUCCAUUUUAGAACAAGGUAACGUAACAAAAUGUGGAAAAAGUCAAGAGGUCUGAAUACUUUCCGAAGGCGCUGUGUUGGACUGCAGAGUGAAGGAAAAUCAGCCUAAAAGUGGUCAGAAUAUGUGGGCACUCCUUCAAGACUUUUGGAAAACCAUUCCAGGUGACAACCUCAUGAAGCUGGUUGAGAGAAUGCCAAGAGUGAGCAAAGCUGUCAAUCAAGGCAAACGUUGGCUACCUUGAAGAAUCUCAAAUAUAAAAUAUAUUUAGAUUUGUUUAACACUGUUUUGGUUACUACAUGAUUCCAUAUGUGUUAUUUCAUAGUUUUGAUGUCUUCACUAUUAUUCUACAAUGUAGAAAAUAGUAAAAAUAAAGAAAAAACCCUUGAAUGAGUAGGUGUUUCCAAACGUUUGUCUGGUACUAUAUACACUACAGUUUUAAAAAGUUUGGGGUCACUUAGAAAUAUCCUUGUUUUUGAAAGAAAAGCACAUUUUUGUCCAUUAAAAUAACGUCAAAUUGAUCAGAAAUAUAGUGUAGACACUGUUAAUGUUGUAAAUGACUAUUGCAGUUGGAAACGGCAGAUUUUUUUAUGGAAUAUCUACAUAGGCGUACAGAGGACCAUUAUCAGCAACCAUCACUCCUGUGUUCCAAUGGCACGUUGUGUUAGCUAAUCCAAGUUCAUAAUAUUAAUAGUCUAAUUGAUCAUUAGAAAACACUUUUCAAUUAUGUUAGCACACCUGAAAAAUGUUGUUCUGAUUAAAGAAGCAAUAAAACUGGCCUUCUUUAGAAACGUUGAGUAUCUGGAGCAUCAGCAUUUGUGGGUUUGAUUACAGGCUCAAAAUGGCUAGAAACAAAGAACUUUCUUCUGAAACUCGUCAGUUUAUUCUUGUUCUGAGAAAUGAAGGCUAUUCAAUGCGAGAACUUGCCAAGAAACUGAAGAUCUCGUACAAUGCUGUGUACUACUCCCUUCAAAGAACAGCGCAAACUGGCUCUAACCACAAUAGAAAGAGGAGGGGGAGGCCCCGGUGCACAACUGAGCAAGAGGAAAAGUACAUUAGAGUGUCCAGUUUGAGAAACUGAUGCUUCACAAGUCCUCAACUGGCAGCUUCAUUAAAUAAUACCCGCAAACACCAGUCUCAACGUCAACAGUGAAGAGGCGACUUACGGAUGCUGGCCUUCUAGACAGCGUUGCAAAGAAAAAGCCAUAUCUCAGACUGGCCAAUAAAAAUAAAAUAUUAAGAUCGGCAAAAGAACACAGAUGACGGACAGAGGAAGAUUAGAAAAAAAUGUUAUGGACAGACACAUCUAAGUUUGAGGUGUUCGGAUCACAAAGAAGAACAUUUGUGAGACGCAGAAAAAAUAAAAAGAUGCUGAAGGAGUGCUUGACGCCAUCUUUCAAGCAUGGUGGAGAUAUUGUGGUUGUCUGGGGCUGCUUUGCUGGUGGUAAAGUGGGAGAUUUGUACAGGGUAAAGGGGAAUUUGAAGAAGGAAGGCUAUCUCUUAAUUUUGCAUCGUCAUUCAUACCCUUUUCACAGUAUUUAAUUGGAGCCAAUUUCAACAAUUUCAACAAUUUCCAACAAGACAAUGACACAAAGCACAGCUCCAAACUAUGCAAGAACUAUUUAGGGAAGAAGCAGUCAGCUGGUAUUCUGUCUAUAAUGGAGUGGCCAGCACAGUCACUGGACCUCAACCCUAUUGAGCUGUUG
Molecule: long non-coding RNA, 4357 nt
Organism: Oncorhynchus keta (chum salmon)
Lineage: Eukaryota; Metazoa; Chordata; Actinopteri; Salmoniformes; Salmonidae
Exons: 3
Source: RefSeq, a predicted model, not a curated record